AAGUCGAGCGGUAACGGGGCUUCACCGUUCUCUUGUCGCACUUGGCCUUUGAGCAAGUGGUCUGAUACGAGGGAACAGUGAAGCUGCCGACGAGCGGCGGACGGCUGAGUAACGCGUGGGAACAUACCCCAAACUGAGGGAUAACUAGUCGAAAGAUUAGCUAAUACCGCAUGUGAUCUUCGGAUUAAAGGAUUUAUCCGGUUUGGGAAUGGCCUGCGUACGAUUAGAUAGUUGGUGAGGUAAAGGCUCACCAAGUCGACGAUCGUUAGAUGGUUUGAGAGGAUGAUCAUCCAGACUGGGACUGAGACACGGCCCAGACUCCUACGGGAGGCAGCAGUAGGGAAUCUUUCACAAUGGGCGAAAGCCUGAUGGAGCAACGCCGCGUGCAGGAUGAAGGCCUUCGGGUUGUAAACUGCUUUUAUAAGCGAGAAAUAUGAUGGUAACUUAUGAAUAAGGAUCGGCUAACUACGUGCCAGCAGCCGCGGUCAUACGUAGGAUCCGAGCAUUAUCCGGAGUGACUGGGUGUAAAGAGUUGCGUAGGUGGCAUAAUAAGUAGCUAGUGAAAUCUGGUGGCUCAACCAUUCAGACUAUUAGCUAAACUGUUAAGCUCGAGACCGUUAGGGGUAACUGGAAUUUCUAGUGUAGGGUUGAAAUCCGUAGAUAUUAGAAGGAACACCAAUAGCGUAGGCAGGUUACUGGGACGGUUCUGACACUAAGGCACGAAAGCGUAGGGAGCAAACGGGAUUAGAUACCCCGGUAGUCUACGCUGUAAACGAUGGAUACUAGCAGUUUUGGGUAUCGACCCCCAGAGUUGCGAAGCUAACGCGUUAAGUAUCCCACCUGUGUAGUACGAUCGCAAGAUUAAAACAUAAAGG
RNAcentral lists this ribosomal RNA (875 nucleotides) under uncultured bacterium. RNAcentral describes it as "bacterial SSU rRNA". It matches the Rfam family "Bacterial small subunit ribosomal RNA", at positions 59 to 907 of the family's 1533-position model. The record is from RNAcentral.